RNAcentral lists this ribosomal RNA (440 nucleotides) under uncultured bacterium. RNAcentral describes it as "partial 16S ribosomal RNA". It matches the Rfam family "Bacterial small subunit ribosomal RNA", at positions 338 to 795 of the family's 1533-position model. The record is from RNAcentral.
CCUACGGGGGGCAGCAGUAGGGAAUAUUGCUCAAUGGGGGAAACCCUGAAGCAGCAACGCCGCGUGGAGGAUGAAGGUAUUCGGAUUGUAAACUCCUUUUGUUAGAGAAGAUAAUGACGGUAUCUAACGAAUAAGCACCGGCUAACUCCGUGCCAGCAGCCGCGGUAAUACGGCGGGUGCAAGCGUUACUCGGAAGCACCGGGCGUAAAGAGCGAGUAGGCGGGAUAGCAAGUCAGUUGUGAAAUCCUAUGGCUUAACCCGAGAACUGCAUUUGAAACUGUUAUUCUAGAGUAUGGGAGAGGUAGGUGGAAUUCUUGGUGUAGCGGUAAAAUGCGUAGAGAUCAAGAGGAAUACUCAUUGCGAAGGCGACCUGCUAGAACAUAACUGACGCUGAUGCGCGAAAGCGUGGGGAGCAAACAGGAUUAGAUACCCCUGUAGUC